Molecule: non-coding RNA, 384 nt
Organism: Vicugna pacos (alpaca)
Lineage: Eukaryota; Metazoa; Chordata; Mammalia; Artiodactyla; Camelidae
Source: RefSeq, a predicted model, not a curated record
GGCUGCUCCUCGGAGGGGAAGGGGCUGCUGGGGCCACUGGGGAGACUGUGGAUGCUGAGGGAGCUGCCUCGGCCCUCGCCCUGGCCCUGGGGCCCCGCCGUGCUGCUCAGCUCUGCGAGGGGAUGGACAAGUACAGACUGGGGAGACUGAGGCCCUGAGUUCUCUCUAAGUAAACCCACAGAGAGCCCUGGCUGCCCGGCCCUUCAGCCUGAGUCAGCUCUGUGUAACUGACUCCCAACACCAAGCUGGACUCCAGCUGGCUGCUUGGAGAAGAUGAAGUCCUAAGGGAUGGUAGAGGCACAAGAAGGAAGAAGCCUGGGUCUCUGCAUUAGCAAAAGGAGGCAAGCCACUCAUCAACCAGGAACACCAGUUUUGGACUUCUAA